This 73-nucleotide transfer RNA is filed under the name Trichonephila clavipes. It matches the Rfam family "tRNA". Rfam says of the family: Transfer RNA (tRNA) molecules are approximately 80 nucleotides in length. Their secondary structure includes four short double-helical elements and three loops (D, anti-codon, and T loops). The record is from Rfam by way of RNAcentral. Lineage: Eukaryota; Metazoa; Arthropoda; Arachnida; Araneae; Nephilidae.
GUCCCUGUAUUGCAAUGGAUAGCGUGUUGGACUUCUAAUCCAAGGGUCGUAGAUUCGAAUCCUACCUGGAAUG